UACCACUCUUCUGUCUUGGAACCAACACAAGUAUUGGUUCCAAGACAGAAGGUAAUGGUUUAAAAUGAAAAACAAAAAACAAAAAACCCAACACUUUCAAAUAAGAUUUUCUUUAACUGUUGCUUCUUUU
Small nucleolar RNA from Monodelphis domestica (gray short-tailed opossum), 130 nucleotides. RefSeq annotates it as small nucleolar RNA SNORA14. The record is from RefSeq and is a predicted model, not a curated record. NCBI's taxonomy places the organism in Eukaryota, Metazoa, Chordata, Mammalia, Didelphimorphia, Didelphidae.